CUGAACGCCUCUAAGUCAGAAUCCAUGCCAGAACGCGGUGAUACCACCCGCACGUAUAGAUGGACAAGAAUAGGCUUCGGCUUAGCGUCUUAGCAGGCGAUUCUUCCACGGCGCUCGAAGCGCGUCGUGGUAUUUCGCGUAUUGUAAUUUCAACACGAGCGGGGUCAAAUCCUUUGCAGACGACUUAGCUGUGCGAAACGGUCCUGUAAGCAGUAGAGUAGCCUUGUUGUUACGAUCUGCUGAGGGUAAGCCGUCCUUCGCCUCGAUUUCCCCAAUGGGUUCUCCGGAUUUCUGGAGACUUGUAGGGGUUGUGGGUUUUUUCGAUGUGUCGUCUCCGGACGGGCGGUGCAGGGUAGUCGAGUUAGACUUGGUGGAAUUCGAUUCCGUCGAGUAUGGCUGGCACGAUCGUGUGCGGUUGUGUGUUGGACGGUGCAGGGUAGGCUGCUUGGACAUGGUCGGUUCGAGGAUCGAUUCGAGGGCCGGCCUGUCGAUGAUGUGUGAUGUAUGCGGUCUAGGGUAGGCUGGUUUGUCUUGGUCCAAUUUGAUGUCGGCUCCCGUGCAGGCUAGAGUGAGGGGGGUCCAGGGUAGGUACAGGGUAGGCAGCUUAGAUUUGGUCGAUCUGGAGGUCGAUUCUCCGGCUGGUGGAUCUGACCCUGUCGAAACGAGAUGCGAGCGGUGUAGGGUAGGCUAGUUUCGUCCUCGCCAGGUUGCGAUUUGGACGAGAUAUGUGGUCUAGGGUAGGCUCUAGGGUAAGUAGAAUUCGAGUUUCGUCGCCGACAGUUUUCUGUGGGUGUAUGGUAGGUACAGGGUAGGCAAAACUCUCUCCGGCCAGUACUUGUCUGGUGGUCGUGAGUCGAUUUUUUUGUUUUGCCAUACUAUUGAAUUUUGCGGAAAUUCAAAAGUGGCUCGGGAGUCCCGCCUGGCGUGCGUCCGACUCGAACAUCGUCGGUGUACAUAUGAGAGGGAGUAAUCCGGCCCGGCCGGGGCCCAUCGCGAGCUGCCGGGUAGGUAAAAGUAAAAAAGUUGUUAAGAGGCGCGGUGUCGGCGUGCUUGUAUUUGCGGGAGAGAAUUAUCUGGAGGUGCUGGGUAGCCGGGAAGACUUGGACGGAUCUGGCCCGGGAAUGGGUCUGGGCCUGGAUUCUGGUGUGGUGUAGGAUAGGCGUAGAUAGAUGAGUGGUCUAGGGUAGAUACAGGGUAGCCAGAAGUCUGGUAUAUAGUGUGGGGGGUGUAGGGUAGGUCUGGACACCGUUUUCCACUUCGCCCUUCCCUUUACUCGAGGGAGGACGAUCUUGGCUGGGAUGGAGGUGUAGGGUAGGCUUAAUUUACGAUUACAUGAUCUGUGUCACUCUAGGGUAGGUGAAAAUCCCAUAUAUAUCUGAUCACAUUUGGAGAAGAGGUGGUUUGGCUGGUGAGAUGGACAAAAGUGCAAUGUAGAAUUAUAUGUGAUUUUGCAAAAGUGGGUGUGAAAUUGGGAAAUCGGUUUCCCCGCACAGAUGAGAGCACGUUUGAGGUGCCAUGAGAUGCACCUCUCCGAGACGACCUCAACGGUACCACCGAUGUGUUGGUCCGGCUCCUGUGCGGCCGUCCAGGGCGGGAUAUGUAGAGAAUGUGGUGGUGUAGGGUAGGUGGCCAGGUCCAGGGUAGGUUCUCCAAAUCCGUCAAUCCAGCUUGAAUCGAAGGACAGGUCUAGGGUAGGCCAGAGUCGGGUCUAGGGUAGGCAGCUCUCACCCUCGAAGUGGUCUACCCGGUAGUCAACUUCAAUCGCCUCUCACGGCCGCCACGGACCUCGCAUGACGACGGGACCACCACCAUCGGAUUUGCCUUGGUCGAAAUAGUCGGUAUAUGCACUUUUGCAAAAAUGCGUGCAAAAUGGUUUUGUGGUUUGGUGGUCGUGAGUCGAUUUUUUUGUUUUCCCAUACAAAUGAAUUUUGCGGAAAAUAAAAAGUGGCCCACGAAGCAGUUCUGGCGUGCGGCCCACUAAAACGGUCUCGGAGGGUAUAUGAGAAGGGAGCAAAUCCGGCCGAGCCUGAAAGGGUGAGGACAAACCGGGCGAGCAACCUCUCAGUAUCAGAUCUUGCAGACUUCCACUGCGUGUCCCUCUGUACAGCUUUGCAGGCUCCGGCCUCGGCAGCGGGGGGUUCAUAGUGGUCGUCGACCUCCACGAAACUGCACGCUCCGGCGUGACAGCGUACUGGGGAUGCCUGUGUAGAUGCAGUCCGGGCUUGCCUGGACCGCUAGCAGAUGGGCUCUGUGGAUGACUGGCCGCUGGCUAGACCUGAAACCUGAGCAACGGGAGGUAACCUCUCGCCGCGGACACCGGAAUGGUAGAAGCGGCGUGCUGCGUCCUCCUCUUGGGGCCCCUAAGCCACACCUCCCAUAGCGGGUUCGGUGCGGCGGACGGACGCCCUGGGGAAUUUAGAGGGGGAAAGCGGAUUGCCCUAGCGGUGUUGUUGGCCCUGCCGACCUCACUGCGAAAGGCGCGACUUCACCGUCGCCACCCAGUAACUUGUCUCUCCGGCGCUUCACGGCGCUGGUGGCCAACCCCGGCACACGAUAGUUACCUGGUUGAUUCUGCCAGUAGUCAUAUGCUUGUCUC
RNAcentral lists this unclassified non-coding RNA (2596 nucleotides) under Fusarium oxysporum f. sp. dianthi. Its description in RNAcentral is "partial contains 28S ribosomal RNA, 28S-18S ribosomal RNA intergenic spacer, and 18S ribosomal RNA". The stretch from base 1 to 271 matches the Rfam family "Eukaryotic large subunit ribosomal RNA", at positions 3120 to 3401 of the family's 3401-position model. The record is from RNAcentral. Lineage: Eukaryota; Fungi; Ascomycota; Sordariomycetes; Hypocreales; Nectriaceae.